UACAAGUACCCGGAGGGAAAGUUGAAAAGAACUUUGAAGAGAGAGUUCAAUAGGGCGUGAAACCGCUUAGAAGAAAACGGACGGAGCCAUCAGGGGCCUCUGGGAAUCAGUCUAACGAUGCUCGAAGCGGCGGCGAUUCGGAGCGAAAGUCCGAUCGUUGUCGUCUGUAGAGUUCGAUAGGCGCAUUUCUCGGAGGUGAGCACCGCGACCGAUACGAUAGGCCGACGAGUCGUCGUUAUUGAGGGCGAGUACUCUCACGGGUACUCGUAACCAGUUUCGGCGUUCCUUUCGUCGGAUCGAAGCGUGUAUCGAGAGCCAAAGUAACAAAUACAUCGGCGUAAACGCUCGUCUCGAUAAUGGAUAGUUGGCCAAUCGUCUGGUAUCUGCUCGCAGGUGCCGGUCGAUUCGGUUCGGCUUUGAAGUUACGGGCGACAUUCGAUGUAUUGGCGUCUGCGGUGUCAGUGUUGGCCACCCGUCCGACCCGUCUUGAAACACGGACCAAGGAGUCUAACAUAUGCGCGAGCUAAUGGGUGGAAAACCCAAAGGCGCAAUAAAAGUAAAAGCUGUUUCGGACAGCCGAGGUACGAUCCUAUGUUCCGCGCGUUCGUAGGCGCAGUACCGUCCCGUCCUGACCGCAUGUCGGUAGGGCGGAGAUAGAGUGCAUACGUUGGGACCCGAAAGAUGGUGAACUAUGCCUGAGCAGAGCGAAGCCAGAGGAAACUCUGGUGGAGGUUCGUAGCGGUUCUGACGUGCAAAUCGAUCGUCAGACUUGGGUAUAGGGGCGAAAGAUUAUUAAUUCCAC
This 802-nucleotide ribosomal RNA is filed under the name Mesodorylaimus litoralis. RNAcentral describes it as "partial large subunit ribosomal RNA". It matches the Rfam family "Eukaryotic large subunit ribosomal RNA", at positions 343 to 940 of the family's 3401-position model. Lineage: Eukaryota; Metazoa; Nematoda; Enoplea; Dorylaimida; Dorylaimidae. The record is from RNAcentral.